RNAcentral lists this ribosomal RNA (1343 nucleotides) under uncultured bacterium. RNAcentral describes it as "16S ribosomal RNA". It matches the Rfam family "Bacterial small subunit ribosomal RNA", at positions 28 to 1378 of the family's 1533-position model. The record is from RNAcentral.
GACGAACGCUGGCGGCGUGCUUAACACAUGCAAGUCGAACGGAAAGGCCCUGCUUUUGUGGGGUGCUCGAGUGGCGAACGGGUGUGUAACACGUGAGUAACCUGCCCUUGACUUUGGGAUAACUUCAGGAAACUGGGGCUAAUACCGGAUAGGAGCUCCUGCUGCAUGGUGGGGGUUGGAAAGUUUCGGCGGUUGGGGAUGGACUCGCGGCUUAUCAGCUUGUUGGUGGGGUAGUGGCUUACCAAGGCUUUGACGGGUAGCCGGCCUGAGAGGGUGACCGGCCACAUUGGGACUGAGAUACGGCCCAGACUCCUACGGGAGGCAGCAGUGGGGAAUAUUGCACAAUGGGCGGAAGCCUGAUGCAGCAACGCCGCGUGCGGGAUGACGGCCUUCGGGUUGUAAACCGCUUUCGCCUGUGACGAAGCGUGAGUGACGGUAAUGGGUAAAGAAGCACCGGCUAACUACGUGCCAGCAGCCGCGGUGAUACGUAGGGUGCGAGCGUUGUCCGGAUUUAUUGGGCGUAAAGGGCUCGUAGGUGGUUGAUCGCGUCGGAAGUGUAAUCUUGGGGCUUAACCCUGAGCGUGCUUUCGAUACGGGUUGACUUGAGGAAGGUAGGGGAGAAUGGAAUUCCUGGUGGAGCGGUGGAAUGCGCAGAUAUCAGGAGGAACACCAGUGGCGAAGGCGGUUCUCUGGGCCUUUCCUGACGCUGAGGAGCGAAAGCGUGGGGAGCGAACAGGCUUAGAUACCCUGGUAGUCCACGCUGUAAACGGUGGGUACUAGGUGUGGGGUCCAUUCCACGGGUUCCGUGCCGUAGCUAACGCUUUAAGUACCCCGCCUGGGGAGUACGGCCGCAAGGCUAAAACUCAAAGGAAUUGACGGGGCCCCGCACAAGCGGCGGAGCAUGCGGAUUAAUUCGAUGCAACGCGUAGAACCUUACCUGGGUUUGACAUGGAUCGGGAGUGCUCAGAGAUGGGUGUGCCUCUUUUGGGGUCGGUUCACAGGUGGUGCAUGGCUGUCGUCAGCUCGUGUCGUGAGAUGUUGGGUUAAGUCCCGCAACGAGCGCAACCCUUGUUCACUGUUGCCAGCACGUUAUGGUGGGGACUCAGUGGAGACCGCCGGGGUCAACUCGGAGGAAGGUGGGGAUGACGUCAAGUCAUCAUGCCCCUUAUGUCCAGGGCUUCACGCAUGCUACAAUGGCUGGUACAGAGAGUGGCGAGCCUGUGAGGGUGAGCGAAUCUCGGAAAGCCGGUCUCAGUUCGGAUUGGGGUCUGCAACUCGACCUCAUGAAGUCGGAGUCGCUAGUAAUCGCAGAUCAGCAACGCUGCGGUGAAUACGUUCCCGGG